GAUCAUGGCUCAGAUUGAACGCUGGCGGCAGGCCUAACACAUGCAAGUCGAACGGUAACAGGAAGAAGCUUGCUCUUGCUGACGAGUGGCGGACGGGUGAGUAAUGUCUGGGAAACUGCCUGAUGGAGGGGGAUAACUACUGGAAACGGUAGCUAAUACCGCAUAACGUCGCAAGACCAAAGAGGGGGACCUUCGGGCCUCUUGCCAUCGGAUGUGCCCAGAUGGGAUUAGCUUGUUGGUGGGGUAACGGCUCACCAAGGCGACGAUCCCUAGCUGGUCUGAGAGGAUGACCAGCCACACUGGAACUGAGACACGGUCCAGACUCCUACGGGAGGCAGCAGUGGGGAAUAUUGCACAAUGGGCGCAAGCCUGAUGCAGCCAUGCCCGCGUGUAUGAAGAAGGCCUUCGGGUUGUAAAGUACUUUCAGCGGGGAGGAAGGGAGUAAAGUUAAUACCUUUGCUCAUUGACGUUACCCGCAGAAGAAGCACCGGCUAACUCCGUGCCAGCCGCCGC
RNAcentral lists this ribosomal RNA (513 nucleotides) under uncultured bacterium. Its description in RNAcentral is "bacterial SSU rRNA". It matches the Rfam family "Bacterial small subunit ribosomal RNA", at positions 15 to 518 of the family's 1533-position model. The record is from RNAcentral.